AGUGAACGCUGGCGGUAGGCCUAACACAUGCAAGUCGAACGGCAGCACAGUAAGAGCUUGCUCUUACGGGUGGCGAGUGGCGGACGGGUGAGGAAUACAUCGGAAUCUACUUUUUCGUGGGGGAUAACGUAGGGAAACUUACGCUAAUACCGCAUACGACCUACGGGUGAAAGCAGGGGAUCUUCGGACCUUGCGCGAUUGAAUGAGCCGAUGUCGGAUUAGCUAGUUGGCGGGGUAAAGGCCCACCAAGGCGACGAUCCGUAGCUGGUCUGAGAGGAUGAUCAGCCACACUGGAACUGAGACACGGUCCAGACUCCUACGGGAGGCAGCAGUGGGGAAUAUUGGACAAUGGGCGCAAGCCUGAUCCAGCCAUACCGCGUGGGUGAAGAAGGCCUUCGGGUUGUAAAGCCCUUUUGUUGGGAAAGAAAAGCAGAAGGUUAAUACCCCGCCGUUCUGACGGUACCCAAAGAAUAAGCACCGGCUAACUUCGUG
RNAcentral lists this ribosomal RNA (492 nucleotides) under uncultured bacterium. RNAcentral's name for it is "partial 16S ribosomal RNA". It matches the Rfam family "Bacterial small subunit ribosomal RNA", at positions 29 to 507 of the family's 1533-position model. The record is from RNAcentral.